UCGAGAAUUUUUCUCAAUGGGGGAAACCCUGAAGGAGCGACGCCGCGUGGAGGAUGAAGGUCUUCGGGUUGUAAACUCCUGUCAUUUGGGAACAAGGUGUGCGCGUUAACUGCGCGCGCAUUGAUAGUACCAGAAGAGGAAGAGACGGCUAACUCUGUGCCAGCAGCCGCGGUAAUACAGAGGUCUCAAGCGUUGUUCGGAUUCAUUGGGCGUAAAGGGUGCGUAGGCGGCGCGGUAAGUCGGAUGUGAAAUCUCGGAGCUUAACUCCGAAACUGCAUUCGAUACUGCCGUGCUUGAGGACUGGAGAGGAGACUGGAAUUUACGGUGUAGCGGUGAAAUGCGUAGAUAUCGUAAGGAAGACCAGUGGCGAAGGCGGGUCUCUGGACAGUUCCUGACGCUGAGGCACGAAGGCCAGGGGAGCAAACGGGAUUAGAUACCCCCGUAGUCC
RNAcentral lists this ribosomal RNA (448 nucleotides) under uncultured bacterium. RNAcentral describes it as "bacterial SSU rRNA". It matches the Rfam family "Bacterial small subunit ribosomal RNA", at positions 355 to 796 of the family's 1533-position model. The record is from RNAcentral.